This 2223-nucleotide ribosomal RNA is filed under the name Ilyarachna triangulata. RNAcentral's name for it is "SSU rRNA". It matches the Rfam family "Eukaryotic small subunit ribosomal RNA". The record is from RNAcentral. Lineage: Eukaryota; Metazoa; Arthropoda; Malacostraca; Isopoda; Munnopsidae.
CCUGGUUGAUCCUGCCAGUAGUGAUAUGCUUGUCUCAAAGAUUAAGCCAUGCAUGUCUGAGUACAGACCGAUCUAAGGUGAAACCGCGAAUGGCUCAUUAAAUCAGUCAUAAUUCCUUGGAUAGUGACCAAAUUCCUCGGAUAACUGUGGAAAAUCCAGAGCUAAUACGUGCAACUGAGCUCCGACCUAGGCGCGAGCCUUGGGAAGAGCGCAUUUAUUAGAUUCAAAACUGACCGGUGUACUCCUUCGGGAUGCGCCGUUUGUCUAAAGUUUGAUGACUCCGGAUAACUUAGCCGAGCGCUACGGUCUUUGUACCGGCGCCGUAUCUUUCAAGUGUCUGCCUUAUCAGCUUUCGAUUGUAGGUUAAACGCCUACAAUGGCUGUAACGGGUAACGGGGAAUCAGGGUUCGAUUCCGGAGAGGGAGCCUGAGAAACGGCUACCACAUCUAAGGAAGGCAGCAGGCACGCAAAUUACCCACUCCCAGCCCGGGGAGGUAGUGACGAAAAAUAACGAUGCGAGACUCUUCCGAGGCCUCGCAAUCGGAAUGAGUCCAUUUUAAAUGUUUGGACGAGGAUCCAUUGGAGGGCAAGUCUGGUGCCAGCAGCCGCGGUAAUUCCAGCUCCAAUAGCGUAUAUUAAAGUUGCUGCGGUUAAAAAGCUCGUAGUUGGACUUCCUAGAUCCAAUUCGCGGAUGAGUCGCUCGUCGAAUUAACGUCCCGGGCCAGUCACUGGACGAAGUUAUUGUGUCCGUCUCGCGCGCGUUUGUAUCGCCGUUCGUAAUUUAUUGCGUCGGUUUUAUUUCGUGCGCGUGUUCGCGUCCUCCAAUUUCCGAGUCUAGCGGACGACGGGCUCGUUGUCUUCGAGUAUCGCUCGUUCGCGUUUGGUACAAUUAAAAUUUUGUCGGCUCGCUCGGAGUGCUCUUUACCGAGUGUUCCAGGGUGGCCGACACGUUCACUUUGAAAAAAUUAGAGUGCUUAAAGCAGCCUUGUAGUCGGCCUGAAUGUCUGUGCAUGGAAUGAAGUAACAGGACCUCGAUUCUGUUGUUUUUGUCGGUUUUAUUGAACCGAGGUAAUGAUUAAAAGGGACAGACGGUGGCAUUAGUAUUGUGGCGCUAGAGGUGAAAUUCUUGGACCGCCGCAAGACUAACUACUGCGAAAGCAUUUGCCGAGAAUGUUUUCAUUAAUCAAGAACGAAAGUUAGAGGAUCGAAGGCGAUCAGAUACCGCCCUAGUUCUAACCCUAAACUAUGCUAACUAGCGAUCCGCCGGAGUCAUUCCCACGACCCGGCGGGAAGCCCCAGGGAAACCAAAGUCUUUGAGUUCCGGGGGAAGUAUGGUUGCAAAGCUGAAACUUAAAGGAAUUGACGGAAGGCACCACCAGGAGUGGAGUGCGGCUUAAUUUGACUCAACACGGGAAACCUCACCAGGCCCGGACAUCAUUAGGAUUGACAGGUUGAGAGCUCUUUCUCGAUUUGAUGGGUGGUGGUGCAUGGCCGUUCUUAGUUGGUGGAGUGAUCUGUCUGGUUGAUUCCGAUAACGAACGAGACUCUACCCUACUAACUAGUCGGCGGAUCGUAACCCUGAGAUGGUUAGUUUGUUGGAUGGCGGUGUGUAGAGAUGAAUGUCCGUUGGCGUUCGUUGCAAGGGAGGCGCUCUAUAUUAAAGCGUUCGGUUUUAUCGUCAUCAUUCGUGGUGGCGGUGGAUCGUGCGUUUGUGUGGAUGUCGUUUUUCGUGUGACUGCGUUACCGGCUUCGUCGAAGCUACCGUCUGAUUACUGCUACUGCUGGGGGCGUCCGUCGCAAUGUAUCUUCUUAGAGGGAUCAGCGGCGUAUAGCCGCACGAGAAAGAGCAAUAACAGGUCUGUGAUGCCCUUAGAUGUUCUGGGCCGCACGCGCGCUACAAUGUAGAGAUCAGCGUGCUUUCCCUCUCCGAAAGGAGCGGGUAACCCGUUGAAACCCCUACCCGAUUGGGAUUGGGGAUUGCAAAUAUUUCCCAUAAACGAGGAAUUCCCAGUAAGCGCGAAUCAUUAAUUCGCGCUGAUUACGUCCCUGCCCUUUGUACACACCGCCCGUCGCUACUACCGAUUGAAUGAUUCAGUGAGGGCAUCGGACUGGCGCCUUCGGUUUAGUAACAUAGACCUUAGGCUGACGGAAAGAUGUCCGAACUUGAUCAUUUAGAGGAAGUAAAAGUCGUAACAAGGUUUCCGUAGUGAACCUGCGGAAGGA